This 497-nucleotide ribosomal RNA is filed under the name uncultured bacterium. RNAcentral's name for it is "partial 16S ribosomal RNA". It matches the Rfam family "Bacterial small subunit ribosomal RNA", at positions 28 to 507 of the family's 1533-position model. The record is from RNAcentral.
GAUGAACGCUGGCGGCGUGCCUAAUACAUGCAAGUCGAGCGAACGGACGAGAAGCUUGCUUCUCUGAUGUUAGCGGCGGACGGGUGAGUAACACGUGGAUAACCUACCUAUAAGACUGGGAUAACUUCGGGAAACCGGAGCUAAUACCGGAUGAUAUUUUGAACCGCAUGGUUCAAAAGUUAAAGACGGUCUUGCUGUCACUUAUAGAUGGAUCCGCGCUGCAUUAGCUAGUUGGUAAGGUAACGGCUUACCAAGGCAACGAUGCAUAGCCGACCUGAGAGGGUGAUCGGCCACACUGGAACUGAGACACGGUCCAGACUCCUACGGGAGGCAGCAGUAGGGACUCUUCCGCAAUGGGCGAAAGCCUGACGGAGCAACGCCGCGUGAGUGAUGAAGGUCUUCGGAUCGUAAAGCUAUGUUAUUAGGGAAGAACAUAUGUGUAAGUACCUGUGCACAUAUUGACGGUACCUAAUCAGAAAGCCACGGCUAACUCCGUG